UAUUCUCCUUCCCCUUCCCAACCAGCCCCAGUCUUCCCCGGUGGCACCAAUAAGUAGACAUGGGUUUCUUUUGGUACUGCCACCGAUGGUCUAACAAGGGAGUCGAUUGUGUUCAUGUCCAUGAGGCAGUUCUACCUCUCUCGGUAGUACAAAAACUUUCUCGCCACAAAUCAUGCAAGUGAUCCUCAUCGACUAUACAUUUAUAGUUUCUUCACAGUUCAGUAUAUCACGUAUAUUAGGAUGCUAACGCCACUCAUGAGUUGGAUGCUAUAGCGUAAGGAAAAUUGAUAGCCAGGCAUGAUCAUCCAUCCAUCAAUUUUGUUUGCUUUUUCUUCUGUUGUUAGUUUCUACUACUUUGCUAGAUAAGUGAUGUCUAUCUGAAGCUGUGAACCUUAGGAACCUUGAUCUUAAUAUUGGUGUUUGCGAAUUUUGAAUGAAGGUCAUGCAACCAGUUUUCUGAAUAAAUUUGUUGAUGAGUGUGUUGCAUUGUUGAUUUCAUGGUUAUUCUUCAAUUUGGAUGCAUGGCUAUUCUUGGGUUUGAGCCAUAGGCAUGCAGCAAUGAAUUCUAAUUUCAUUGAUGCUGAGAGGAAAGUUCUGACCUUGGGCUUCAUCCAUGUGAGGGAGGAUUGGAUAUAGAAUGAAUUUCCUGGGAUUUUUAUUCAUUCUAGCAGGGUUCAAUCUUUUAAUGAAAACCAUACACAUCAAUUUUGAAUAGAAAUCUUAUCCCAAUAUUUUUGACCACUACUGUACUUCGAUUUCAAUAACAAAAUUUGGUAUCUCUAGGAUUCCUGAUUAGCCCUCGGACAAGAUGGAUUUGCAAUUUACAUGGCUUUACCUAUUUCUUGAACUGAAUAGGGUGAAUUGUAGCAAAAACAUGAACAAUAAUGUGUUCAUGAUGGUAUAGCUACAAUAUGUAUGUUUUGCCUUUGUAAAAGGUAUCUGGCACAAUAAACUAAAACACAUGGUUUCUUAGUUGCCAGUCUAUAUCUCAAAUGCUUUUUGAGUUUUAUGUUUUGAUAAAUGCAUUGUCAUCGAUAAUUAUUCUUUCUAAGUAACCUCCUUAAUUUUCAAGCUAACAGAGCAGAAAAUGUCUAUUGUUCAGGAUGACCAGAAAUCGCGACAAGAGCUGGUAAGUGCGUUCACAACUGCUACAGUUCUGCACUAAUGUUGUAUUCUACGAUAUUAUAUUCUUGGAAAAUAAUUCAAUCGUUUAUUUAUUUGUUAA
This is a long non-coding RNA of Triticum dicoccoides, 1225 nucleotides long. RefSeq lists it as uncharacterized. The transcript has 2 exons. NCBI's taxonomy places the organism in Eukaryota, Viridiplantae, Streptophyta, Magnoliopsida, Poales, Poaceae. The record is from RefSeq and is a predicted model, not a curated record.